GGCCGCGUCGACGUGAGCCAUGCGUCAAGAAAAGCCGCUAUUGUUUAUCUUGUACCCGUACCGUAAACCGACACAGGUGGAUGAGGAGAGAAUCCUAAGGCCGACGGAAGAAGCAUUGUUAAGGAACUCGGCAAAAUGACCCCGUAACUUCGGGAGAAGGGGUGCCCACGAAGGUGGGCCGCAGAGAAUAGGCUCAAGCAACUGUUUAGCAAAAACACAGGUCUAUGCAAAACCGGAAGGUGAAGUAUAUGGGCUGACGCCUGCCCGGUGCUGGAAGGUUACGAGGAGAGGUUAGCGGAAACGCGAAGCUUUGAAUCUAAGCCCCAGUAAACGGCGGCCGUAACAAUAACGGUCCUAAGGUAGCGAAAUUCCUUGUCGGGUAAGUUCCGACCCGCACGAAAGGCGUAACGAUCUGGGAGCUGUCUCGGAGAGAGACUCGGCGUCGACGCGGCCGAGUCGUGGAGG
RNAcentral lists this ribosomal RNA (465 nucleotides) under uncultured bacterium. RNAcentral's name for it is "bacterial LSU rRNA". It matches the Rfam family "Bacterial large subunit ribosomal RNA", at positions 1584 to 2038 of the family's 2925-position model. The record is from RNAcentral.